GACGAACGCUGGCGGCGUGCCUAAUACAUGCAAGUCGAACGAACCGCGACUGAGUGCUUGCACUUGGUCAAGGUGAGUGGCGAACGGGUGAGUAACACGUGGGUAACCUACCUCAUAGUGGGGGAUAACAGUCGGAAACGACUGCUAAUACCGCAUAGGACAUGGAAUCACAUGAUUCUGUGAGGAAAGGUGGCGCAAGCUAUCGCUAAGAGAUGGACCCGCGGUGCAUUAGCUAGUUGGUAGGGUAAGGGCCUACCAAGGCGAUGAUGCAUAGCCGAUCUGAGAGGAUGAUCGGCCACAUUGGGACUGAGACACGGCCCAAACUCCUACGGGAGGCAGCAGUAGGGAAUCUUCCGCAAUGGACGCAAGUCUGACGGAGCAACGCCGCGUGAGUGAAGAAGGUCUUCGGAUCGUAAAGCUCUGUUGUUAGAGAAGAACAGCGCAUAGAGUAACUGUGAUGCGUGUGACGGUAUCUAAACAGAAAGCCACGGCUAACUACGUG
RNAcentral lists this ribosomal RNA (502 nucleotides) under uncultured bacterium. RNAcentral describes it as "partial 16S ribosomal RNA". It matches the Rfam family "Bacterial small subunit ribosomal RNA", at positions 28 to 507 of the family's 1533-position model. The record is from RNAcentral.